This 39-nucleotide non-coding RNA is filed under the name Plasmodium falciparum 3D7. The record is from RNAcentral. Lineage: Eukaryota; Apicomplexa; Aconoidasida; Haemosporida; Plasmodiidae.
GUUUAAAUGGUUCAUGUGGCUACUAUUUGUAUUGUUUGA